UUAAGCGACUAAGCGUACACGGUGGAUGCCCUGGCAGUCAGAGGCGAUGAAGGACGUGCUAAUCUGCGAUAAGCGUCGGUAAGGUGAUAUGAACCGUUAUAACCGGCGAUUUCCGAAUGGGGAAACCCAGUGUGAUUCGUCACACUAUCAUUAACUGAAUCCAUAGGUUAAUGAGGCGAACCGGGGGAACUGAAACAUCUAAGUACCCCGAGGAAAAGAAAUCAACCGAGAUUCCCCCAGUAGCGGCGAGCGAACGGGGAGCAGCCCAGAGCCUGAAUCAGUGUGUGUGUUAGUGGAAGCGUCUGGAAAGGCGUGCGAUACAGGGUGACAGCCCCGUACACAAAAAUGCACAUGCUGUGAGCUCGAUGAGUAGGGCGGGACACGUGGUAUCCUGUCUGAAUAUGGGGGGACCAUCCUCCAAGGCUAAAUACUCCUGACUGACCGAUAGUGAACCAGUACCGUGAGGGAAAGGCGAAAAGAACCCCGGCGAGGGGAGUGAAAAAGAACCUGAAACCGUGUACGUACAAGCAGUGGGAGCACGCUUAGGCGUGUGACUGCGUACCUUUUGUAUAAUGGGUCAGCGACUUAUAUUCUGUAGCAAGGUUAACCGAAUAGGGGAGCCGAAGGGAAACCGAGUCUUAACUGGGCGUUAAGUUGCAGGGUAUAGACCCGAAACCCGGUGAUCUAGCCAUGGGCAGGUUGAAGGUUGGGUAACACUAACUGGAGGACCGAACCGACUAAUGUUGAAAAAUUAGCGGAUGACUUGUGGCUGGGGGUGAAAGGCCAAUCAAACCGGGAGAUAGCUGGUUCUCCCCGAAAGCUAUUUAGGUAGCGCCUCGUGAAUUCAUCUCCGGGGGUAGAGCACUGUUUCGGCAAGGGGGUCAUCCCGACUUACCAACCCGAUGCAAACUGCGAAUACCGGAGAAUGUUAUCACGGGAGACACACGGCGGGUGCUAACGUCCGUCGUGAAGAGGGAAACAACCCAGACCGCCAGCUAAGGUCCCAAAGUCAUGGUUAAGUGGGAAACGAUGUGGGAAGGCCCAGACAGCCAGGAUGUUGGCUUAGAAGCAGCCAUCAUUUAAAGAAAGCGUAAUAGCUCACUGGUCGAGUCGGCCUGCGCGGAAGAUGUAACGGGGCUAAACCAUGCACCGAAGCUGCGGCAGCGACACUGUGUGUUGUUGGGUAGGGGAGCGUUCUGUAAGCCUGCGAAGGUGUGCUGUGAGGCAUGCUGGAGGUAUCAGAAGUGCGAAUGCUGACAUAAGUAACGAUAAAGCGGGUGAAAAGCCCGCUCGCCGGAAGACCAAGGGUUCCUGUCCAACGUUAAUCGGGGCAGGGUGAGUCGACCCCUAAGGCGAGGCCGAAAGGCGUAGUCGAUGGGAAACAGGUUAAUAUUCCUGUACUUGGUGUUACUGCGAAGGGGGGACGGAGAAGGCUAUGUUGGCCGGGCGACGGUUGUCCCGGUUUAAGCGUGUAGGCUGGUUUUCCAGGCAAAUCCGGAAAAUCAAGGCUGAGGCGUGAUGACGAGGCACUACGGUGCUGAAGCAACAAAUGCCCUGCUUCCAGGAAAAGCCUCUAAGCAUCAGGUAACAUCAAAUCGUACCCCAAACCGACACAGGUGGUCUGGUAGAGAAUACCAAGGCGCUUGAGAGAACUCGGGUGAAGGAACUAGGCAAAAUGGUGCCGUAACUUCGGGAGAAGGCACGCUGAUAUGUAGGUGAAGUCCCUCGCGGAUGGAGCUGAAAUCAGUCGAAGAUACCAGCUGGCUGCAACUGUUUAUUAAAAACACAGCACUGUGCAAACACGAAAGUGGACGUAUACGGUGUGACGCCUGCCCGGUGCCGGAAGGUUAAUUGAUGGGGUCAGCGCAAGCGAAGCUCUUGAUCGAAGCCCCGGUAAACGGCGGCCGUAACUAUAACGGUCCUAAGGUAGCGAAAUUCCUUGUCGGGUAAGUUCCGACCUGCACGAAUGGCGUAAUGAUGGCCAGGCUGUCUCCACCCGAGACUCAGUGAAAUUGAACUCGCUGUGAAGAUGCAGUGUACCCGCGGCAAGACGGAAAGACCCCGUGAACCUUUACUAUAGCUUGACACUGAACAUUGAGCCUUGAUGUGUAGGAUAGGUGGGAGGCUUUGAAGUGUGGACGCCAGUCUGCAUGGAGCCGACCUUGAAAUACCACCCUUUAAUGUUUGAUGUUCUAACGUUGACCCGUGAUCCGGGUUGCGGACAGUGUCUGGUGGGUAGUUUGACUGGGGCGGUCUCCUCCUAAAGAGUAACGGAGGAGCACGAAGGUUGGCUAAUCCUGGUCGGACAUCAGGAGGUUAGUGCAAUGGCAUAAGCCAGCUUGACUGCGAGCGUGACGGCGCGAGCAGGUGCGAAAGCAGGUCAUAGUGAUCCGGUGGUUCUGAAUGGAAGGGCCAUCGCUCAACGGAUAAAAGGUACUCCGGGGAUAACAGGCUGAUACCGCCCAAGAGUUCAUAUCGACGGCGGUGUUUGGCACCUCGAUGUCGGCUCAUCACAUCCUGGGGCUGAAGUAGGUCCCAAGGGUAUGGCUGUUCGCCAUUUAAAGUGGUACGCGAGCUGGGUUUAGAACGUCGUGAGACAGUUCGGUCCCUAUCUGCCGUGGGCGCUGGAGAACUGAGGGGGGCUGCUCCUAGUACGAGAGGACCGGAGUGGACGCAUCACUGGUGUUCGGGUUGUCAUGCCAAUGGCACUGCCCGGUAGCUAAAUGCGGAAGAGAUAAGUGCUGAAAGCAUCUAAGCACGAAACUUGCCCCGAGAUGAGUUCUCCCUGACUCCUUGAGAGUCCUGAAGGAACGUUGAAGACGACGACGUUGAUAGGCCGGGUGUGUAAGCGCAGCGAUGCGUUGAGCUAACCGGUACUAAUGAACCGUGAGGCUUAACCUU
This 2901-nucleotide ribosomal RNA is filed under the name Escherichia coli. RNAcentral describes it as "bacterial LSU rRNA". It matches the Rfam family "Bacterial large subunit ribosomal RNA". The record is from RNAcentral. Lineage: Bacteria; Pseudomonadati; Pseudomonadota; Gammaproteobacteria; Enterobacterales; Enterobacteriaceae.